This is a non-coding RNA of Aplosporella prunicola CBS 121167, 99 nucleotides long. The record is from the annotation of a RefSeq genome assembly. Lineage: Eukaryota; Fungi; Ascomycota; Dothideomycetes; Botryosphaeriales; Aplosporellaceae.
UCCGUUGUGGUCUAGUGGCUAGGAUUUGCCGCUCUCAGCACAAGAGCAUUGCUAUAACGCAGUACCGGCAAGGCCGGGGUUCGAUUCCCCGCAACGGAA